Molecule: ribosomal RNA, 253 nt
Filed under: uncultured bacterium
Lineage: Bacteria
Description: partial 16S ribosomal RNA
Rfam family: Bacterial small subunit ribosomal RNA
Source: RNAcentral
UACGUAGGGUGCGAGCGUUAAUCGGAAUUACUGGGCGUAAAGCGUGCGCAGGCGGUUUUGUAAGCCAGAUGUGAAAUCCCCGGGCUUAACCUGGGAAUGGCAUUUGGGACUGCAAGGCUCGAGUGCGGCAGAGGAGACUGGAAUUCCUGGUGUAGCAGUGAAAUGCGUAGAUAUCAGGAGGAACACCGAUGGCGAAGGCAGGUCUCUGGGCUGACACUGACGCACAUGCACGAAAGCGUGGGGAGCAAACAGG